This 274-nucleotide ribosomal RNA is filed under the name uncultured bacterium. Its description in RNAcentral is "partial 16S ribosomal RNA". It matches the Rfam family "Bacterial small subunit ribosomal RNA", at positions 523 to 796 of the family's 1533-position model. The record is from RNAcentral.
AUACGGAGGGUGCAAGCGUUACUCGGAAUCACUGGGCGUAAAGCGCGCGCAGGCGGCUAUUUAAGUUGGAUGUGAAAGCCUACGGCUCAACCGUAGAACUGCAUCCAAAACUAUUUAGCUAGAGUGUGGGAGAGGAAGAUGGAAUUAGUUGUGUAGGGGUAAAAUCCGUAGAGAUAACUAGGAAUACCAAAAGCGAAGGCAAUCUUCUGGAACACUACUGACGCUGAGGCGCGAAAGCGUGGGGAGCAAACAGGAUUAGAAACCCCUGUAGUCC